GCACUGUAGAAUAAGGCUUUCCAUCCUGAUUUGGAAACAGGGGGUCGCGGGUUCGAACCCUGCCGGGCACCA
This 72-nucleotide transfer RNA is filed under the name Rhizobium mongolense subsp. loessense. Its description in RNAcentral is "Rhizobium loessense tRNA_Pseudo_TGG". The record is from RNAcentral. Lineage: Bacteria; Pseudomonadati; Pseudomonadota; Alphaproteobacteria; Hyphomicrobiales; Rhizobiaceae.